UGUUAGAAAAUUUUCAUCUAUUUCUACGGUUAAAAAAUGACAUGGCAGAAUACCAAAAAAUUACACCUGGCAUGCCACGUGUACCUCAUUUUGAGAUACAGGGACCAGUUUUUAACAAUAGAAAUUGAUUAAAUUUUUAACA
Non-coding RNA from Gossypium arboreum, 142 nucleotides. NCBI's taxonomy places the organism in Eukaryota, Viridiplantae, Streptophyta, Magnoliopsida, Malvales, Malvaceae. The record is from Rfam.